RNAcentral lists this ribosomal RNA (507 nucleotides) under Bacillus pumilus. Its description in RNAcentral is "bacterial SSU rRNA". It matches the Rfam family "Bacterial small subunit ribosomal RNA", at positions 13 to 503 of the family's 1533-position model. The record is from RNAcentral. Lineage: Bacteria; Bacillati; Bacillota; Bacilli; Caryophanales; Bacillaceae.
UUGAUCCUGGCUCAGGACGAACGCUGGCGGCGUGCCUAAUACAUGCAAGUCGAGCGAACAGAAGGGAGCUUGCUCCCGGAUGUUAGCGGCGGACGGGUGAGUAACACGUGGGUAACCUGCCUGUAAGACUGGGAUAACUCCGGGAAACCGGAGCUAAUACCGGAUAGUUCCUUGAACCGCAUGGUUCAAGGAUGAAAGACGGUUUCGGCUGUCACUUACAGAUGGACCCGCGGCGCAUUAGCUAGUUGGUGGGGUAAUGGCUCACCAAGGCGACGAUGCGUAGCCGACCUGAGAGGGUGAUCGGCCACACUGGGACUGAGACACGGCCCAGACUCCUACGGGAGGCAGCAGUAGGGAAUCUUCCGCAAUGGACGAAAGUCUGACGGAGCAACGCCGCGUGAGUGAUGAAGGUUUUCGGAUCGUAAAGCUCUGUUGUUAGGGAAGAACAAGUGCGAGAGUAACUGCUCGCACCUUGACGGUACCUAACCAGAAAGCCACGGCUAACUA